AACUUGAUAAACAAACUCAUUCAUGUGAAUCAAAAUGAAUAUUUAACAAAAGAACUUUAAAAUCGCGGACUGAAUAAUUCUACGACGCAUUUUUGUUUUUAUACGGUAAGUUUAUUUAUUUGUUUUGAUAAUUUCACACACAUGCAAAUCUUGUCAUUUAAGAAAAUUAAGGCUUUUUUUGCAGUCCUUGUGUAUCUCUUUCUCGAAAUUACGUUGAAAUUCUGGUGAAUCAAAUUAACUACUCGUCCCUACCAAUUGGACAAAAUUUCAAAAAUGACACAAAAUUAUACAAAAAUACAAAACCAAGUCAACACCUUGCAUGUCCUUUAUAUUCACUGUUGUUUACAAAAAAGAAUUCAUCAUGCAUUUUUUGUUUACUUUUCGUGAAUUAACAAUGUUUACCAAAAAAUCGGAGAUAAGUGUCGAGCAUGUGACAUUUGUCGUGGAAGUUAGCUAUAUAGCGACCAUACAUUCCGACGUCAAUUAAAUUAACAUGAACGUUCAGUCUAGCGUUGAAAAUCAAAUAUCAAAAAUAUUUAGACUUUUAUAUAGAAGCACAGUUUUGAAACUAAUAUUUUUUUUCUAUUUUUUAGUCAAUAUUUAUUUAACUUUUACUCGUACUUCGGCAAUAUCAGGUGGGACAUACCUGGGUUCCGCGGAACCCUUAAUCAUUUAUUUUUAAAUUUUGAGGCUUUAUCUGUUUUCUUUAUUUUACAACUUUGAACUUUUUUAUAACAUAGUCAUUUUUCGAGGUUACAAAUCGGCGCAGUAAUAAUGUAAAAUGAUAUAUUUCUAUAUUUUAUUAACAUGUUGUAUGUAAACAUGUGAGUUUAUAUAAGUACAUAGACCUUGUAGAGUUCAUCCUAUAUACACCUUGCCGGUGCAUUUCUUUAAUGUUUGCUUAGAUCAAUAUCAAACCAUAUCUGAAUCAAACCGGUUAUUUUGUUAAGUUUGUUGUUCAAUAAAAGAAUUUAAAUAUCAGUGAAUUUACAUUGUACAUUCUCAUAUUUCAAUCAGAAUUUUACAUUUAACAAAUAGAGUAUCCUAUUUCAAAUCACCUGAUGAUAUCAUAUAACGAUAUCAGUAUUCUUUUGAAAAUAAUCCGUGUGGUAUUUCGCAGCCACUGAGUGUGCUUUAAGGUGCCUAUAACUUGUAUUUUUUUCUAUGCCCUAUUUAUGGGCAUUAUGUUUUCUUGUCUGUGCGUUCGUCCGUCAAUUCGUUCGUUUGUUCGUCCGUUCGUCUGUCCGUCCGUCCGUUCGUUCGUCCGUAUGUCUGUCCCGCUUCUGGUUCAAGUUUUAGGUCAAGGUAGUUUUUGAUGAAGUUGAAGAAAUCAACUUGAAACUUAUUACACAUGUUCCCUAUAAUAUGCUCUUUCUCAUUUUAAUGCCAAAUUAGAGAUUUUAUCCCAUUUUCACGGUCCAUUGAACAUAGAAAAUAAUAGUGCGGAUGGGGCAUUCGUGUACUAUUGACACAUUCUUGUUUAGUUAUCUCUUACGUUAUGACUUAUAUUUUUCAUAGUGUUGAAAGUUGAUAGAUGAAGAUUGAACCCAUAUUGAAUGUAUAUCAAAAGACAACAGCCAAUUAAGGCUAAUUAUCUAUCUAUUUUGUCUCGUUCAGCCAUUCUGAAUUGUACCCAGAAGUAACUUACAAACUAA
RNAcentral lists this long non-coding RNA (1655 nucleotides) under Mytilus galloprovincialis (Mediterranean mussel). The record is from RNAcentral. Lineage: Eukaryota; Metazoa; Mollusca; Bivalvia; Mytilida; Mytilidae.